CCGCCUCCAUCAUCCCACAUGGAUCAGGAGGACGCCCACUGCACAGAGCUGUGAUGAGCAUGAACAGAAGAUGGCAAGAGCUCAUGCCAAGGUGCUGAGCACGGGGCCUAUGGAGUGCUUCUUUCUGCUGUGGCUGACAUCAUCAAACAAGAGGCUGAUACGGCUUCCAGACAGAAAGACACUCGCUGAGACACUGAAACGUGUGACCUAGGAGCCUGUGAAGGUCGAAGAACAAACUAACAAACCAAACGGUUUUGUUUGUUUUUCAAACACCACAGCCUGUUUUUCUUUUUUUUCUUUUUCUUUUUUUUUUUAGACGGAGUCUCGCUCAGGCCGGGCUGGAGUGCAGUGGUCGGAUCUCAGCUCACUGCAAGCCCCGCCUCCUGGGUUUACGCCAUUCUCUUGCCUCAGCCUCCAGAGUAGCUGGGACUACAGUCACCCGCCACUUGCCCGGCUAGUUUUUUUGUAUUUUUUAGUAAAGGCGUGGUUUCACCGUGUUAGCCAGGAUGGUCUCGAUCUCCUGACCUCAUGAUCCGCCUGUCACGGCCUCCCAAAGUGCUGGGAUUACAGGAUGGAGCCACCGUGCCCGGCCCUUUUUUCUUCCAAGAGGAGGGGCUGCGCUGCCGGGAGGCAGUGCGUUGAGCUCUAAUGGAUGGAACACUGCUAACCAGCGAAGGUGGAGAGAGGGCACCCGUCUGAGAGGAUGAAGAGGCAGCAAAGCACAGCUGGCCUCGGGGAACCGGAAGCCACAGAGACAUCAGGCUGGGUGCUGCUGUCUGCGGGCCACUGUCUGGGGGACUGUACUGGGCCUGGAGGGACAUCCCUGACACUCUCCACCGGAUGCCAGGGGCACCCCCAGCCCCAGGUGACAUCUGUUCCCGAGCUGUUCCUGACGGCCAUGAAGCUCAGCCACGAUGAUAGAGGAGCCAGGUAUUUACACCUGGCCAGAGAAGACACGAAUAAUCUGUUCAGGUACGUGGUGCAUUGUAAGAACAUGGUCUUGAAUGUUUUAUUUAAAUCAAGGAUGUCCAAUCUUUCGGCUUCCCUGUGCCACAUUAGAAGAACAACUGUCUUAGGCCACACACUAAAUACACUAACACUAAGGACAGUUGACGAGCUAAAAAAAAAUAAAUAG
This 1135-nucleotide long non-coding RNA is filed under the name Macaca fascicularis (crab-eating macaque). RNAcentral's name for it is "lncRNA (ENSMFAG00000056515.1)". The record is from RNAcentral. Lineage: Eukaryota; Metazoa; Chordata; Mammalia; Primates; Cercopithecidae.